Molecule: ribosomal RNA, 200 nt
Filed under: uncultured bacterium
Lineage: Bacteria
Description: partial 16S ribosomal RNA
Rfam family: Bacterial small subunit ribosomal RNA
Source: RNAcentral
AGAGUUUGAUCCUGGCUCAGGACGAACGCUGGCGGCGUGCUUAACACAUGCAAGUCGAGCGGUAAGGCCCUUCGGGGUACACGAGCGGCGAACGGGUGAGUAACACGUGGGUGAUCUGCCUCGCACUCUGGGAUAAGCCUGGGAAACUGGGUCUAAUACCGGAUAUGACCAGGGAGUGCAUGCUCCUUGGUGGAAAGGUU